CUAUCUGCCGUGGGCGCUGGAGAAUUGAGGGGGGCUGCUCCUAGUACGAGAGGACCGGAGUGGACGCAUCACUGGUGUUCGGGUUGUCAUGCCAAUGGCACUGCCCGGUAGCUAAAUGCGGAAGAGAUAAGUGCUGAAAGCAUCUAAGCACGAAACUUGCCCCGAGAUGAGUUCUCCCUGAGACUUUAAGUCUCCUGAAGGAACGUUGAAGACGACGACGUUGAUAGGCCGGGUGUGUAAGCGCAGCGAUGCGUUGAGCUAACCGGUACUAAUGAACCGUGAGGCUUAACCUUACAACGCCGAAGCUGUU
RNAcentral lists this ribosomal RNA (310 nucleotides) under Klebsiella variicola. RNAcentral describes it as "partial 23S ribosomal RNA". It matches the Rfam family "Bacterial large subunit ribosomal RNA", at positions 2638 to 2925 of the family's 2925-position model. The record is from RNAcentral. Lineage: Bacteria; Pseudomonadati; Pseudomonadota; Gammaproteobacteria; Enterobacterales; Enterobacteriaceae.